This 200-nucleotide unclassified non-coding RNA is filed under the name soil metagenome. RNAcentral describes it as "partial contains internal transcribed spacer 2 and large subunit ribosomal RNA". The record is from RNAcentral.
UGUUCGAGCGUCAUUACAACCCUCAAGCUCUGCUUGGUAUUAGGCUUCACCCUUAGGGGUGAGCUUUAAAAUCAGUGGCGGUGCCAUUUGGCUUCAAGCGUAGUAAUUUUCUCGCUUUGGAGACCAGGUGUGUAUUUGCCAAUAACCUCAUAUUUUUAAAGGUUGACCUCGGAUCAGGUAGGGAUACCCGCUGAACUUAA